Long non-coding RNA from Erinaceus europaeus (western European hedgehog), 949 nucleotides. RefSeq lists it as uncharacterized. The transcript has 2 exons. NCBI's taxonomy places the organism in Eukaryota, Metazoa, Chordata, Mammalia, Eulipotyphla, Erinaceidae. The record is from RefSeq and is a predicted model, not a curated record.
CAGUGAUGGUGGGAGUGGGGGACGGUGUGUCGUUAUCUGCAAACUAAGAUGAAGAGGACACAGAGACUACGAGAUUGAGGAGAGAAGGGUGGAGGGAUAGGGCCUCUGCACAGAGAAAGCAAAGCUGGCAUGAAAAAGAGACGGACAGUCUACAUACUAAUGUUGAAAUUUGCUCUAGUUUCAGAUGAUCUAGUAGUCCCUAAAGCAGUCUUUGCCCAGAUGUGCCGUCCCAUGAGGCCACUUUGGUGACAGAGAUGAGGGCACUCUGAAGGGACCACCUCAGGCCCAGAGCAGGCUGGACUAAACAGCCACCAAGUUCCAGAUGCUACUAUGAUUCCAUCCUGAUUUCCCUGGGCAGACGACUGUACCAUUGUGUCCCAAAGUCUCACCUCUCCAGAGCCCUGCCCCACUAGGGGAAGAUGGAAACAGACUGGUGGUAUGGAUUGACCUGUCAACAUCCAUGUCCCGCAGAGAAGCAAUUACUGAAGCCAGACCUUCCACUUUCUGCACCCCAUAAAGAAUUCUGGUCCAUAUUCCCAGAGUGGUAAAUAGUAGGGGAAAUAAACCAGAGAGCUCGGUACCCCCACUCCACCAGGACCCAAGCAUUUGUCUCCAGGAAUCUUGUUUUUAUACCGUCACUGAAAGGGAAGCGAAUCUGGAAAACACCAGAGGAAGUCAGGAGCUAUUUCUCUUAUCUGAGAGAAAAGAGAACGAAAAGGAAAAACACUAGGAAGUAGUGAUAGGUGUGGGGUGACUUAGCAAAAAAAGAAAAGGAUGAAACAUAGAUAUAGACAAAUAGUUAUAGAAUCAGCCAUAUCACUAACCUUGGGAGAACUACUGCAGUUUCUAAUUGGAGGGAUGGGACACAGAACUCUGGUGGUGGGAACUGUAUGGAAUAUACCCCUAUUAUCUUACAAUUCUGUAAAUCAAUAUUAAAUCACACAGAAAA